UGGGGAAUCUUGCGCAAUGGGCGAAAGCCUGACGCAGCCAUGCCGCGUGAAUGAUGAAGGUCUUAGGAUUGUAAAAUUCUUUCACCGGGGACGAUAAUGACGGUACCCGGAGAAGAAGCCCCGGCUAACUUCGUGCCAGCAGCCGCGGUAAUACGAAGGGGGCUAGCGUUGCUCGGAAUUACUGGGCGUAAAGGGAGCGUAGGCGGACAGUUAAGUCAGAGGUGAAAGCCCAGGGCUCAACCUUGGAAUUGCCUUUGAUACUGGCUGUCUUGAGUAUGGGAGAGGUAAGCGGAACUCCGAGUGUAGAGGUGAAAUUCGUAGAUAUUCGGAAGAACACCAGUGGCGAAGGCGGCUUACUGGCCCAUUACUGACGCUGAGGCUCGAAAGCGUGGGGAGCAAACA
This 402-nucleotide ribosomal RNA is filed under the name uncultured Caulobacter sp. RNAcentral describes it as "bacterial SSU rRNA". It matches the Rfam family "Bacterial small subunit ribosomal RNA", at positions 355 to 774 of the family's 1533-position model. Lineage: Bacteria; Pseudomonadati; Pseudomonadota; Alphaproteobacteria; Caulobacterales; Caulobacteraceae. The record is from RNAcentral.